RNAcentral lists this long non-coding RNA (1175 nucleotides) under Capsicum annuum. RNAcentral's name for it is "long non-coding RNA (CANN_LNC014886)". The record is from RNAcentral. Lineage: Eukaryota; Viridiplantae; Streptophyta; Magnoliopsida; Solanales; Solanaceae.
AAAACUAUGCACUGACUUUGUUUUCUCAGUUUUAAAGAAGAUGCAAAAUUUAAAUUUUACAAAAAGCUUAAAAGAAAAAGAGCAAUUAUUAACUAAAGUACCUAGGAUUGUGCACAUAACAAAUACCAUAUCAUUUAUUUGAAGAAAUGUACCCAGCAAUAAUUUUAUUGUAAUUUUAAUUUAAGAAAAAUAAUUUAUAGAAAUAAAAUCAUGGAAUAUCACCAUCAUAUUCUUUCAAAUCAUUGUUGAAUUUAAAAUUUAAGUCUUUUUGUUAUAUGCAAAUCUCAACUAUUUUUGUCCUUUUUUUUUAAUUUUUUCUUGGUUUAUCAUAUUUUUGCAAUUUUUCAUUUGUCAUAUGAUAUCAAUUCAAUUUAUCGUGUUCUUUUUGAGUCAUUCCCGCGUUGUUCUCUCGAAACUCUUCUAGUUAACAUUCACAUUAUUAAGUUUUCAAAUUUCGCGCUUGAACAAUAAUUGUCAUGAGAUUCUAUUUCGAGAAUCGUUUGAUUUUGACUAAGAAGAAAUUGGGUGUGUUAACAGAAUCAUGUUUCCUUUGAUAUAAUAAGCUUAUUUUAUAGUGUGCUUGUUUUAAUAGAAUUGAGACCUUAUUUUAAUAGUCUACUUGUUUUGAUAGAAUUGGGGUUCUAUUUUUAAAUAGUGUGCUUGUUUUCAUGAUUUUUGUAUUCUCGCAAUUUGUUACGAUUCUUAUAGUUCCCCUCAUAACGUUAUGCUCCGCAAAAUGUCAUGUACUAAUUUAUUAUUUAUUUCUUUGCUGCAUGGAAUCUUGAAAUGAGUCCAUGAGACUCUCCAUAUCCUUACAUCUCUCCGGGAUCAAGUCCCAAAAGUUCAAAGGGACUAGCGAAAAACGAGGCUGGUAAACACUAGUAUACGCAAUAUAUAUGGGGGCUUUGCAAGUCAAAGAUGGCUGGAAUAAGCCAAGAUAUGAUGUAUAAUGAAGCUGGAAGCUUGUACACGGAUUUUUAUAUGCUGAUAUACAAUGUAUAUACAAAAAAUAAAGGGGAGAUAUUCAUGAUAUACUGUUGAUAUACACUUCAGAAAAUGGACCCAAAGUCCAUAAUUCAAAGCUCAAAAGCUGGACAGCUUUAUUGAUGAGCCCAUGAAGGGUUCAAUUUCAAUUUUUGUAUUAUUUUUGUAGUUUAUUUUAGGAUAAAAUUCAC